GAAAAUUUAGUUAAAUUAUAACAUUAUCUUGUCAAGAUAAAAUUAUUUAUAAAAAAAUAAUUUUCU
Molecule: transfer RNA, 66 nt
Filed under: Tenumembrana ceylonica
Lineage: Eukaryota; Metazoa; Arthropoda; Insecta; Blattodea; Blattidae
Description: tRNA-Asp
Source: RNAcentral